Non-coding RNA from Pelobates cultripes (western spadefoot toad), 164 nucleotides. The record is from the annotation of a GenBank genome assembly. Lineage: Eukaryota; Metazoa; Chordata; Amphibia; Anura; Pelobatidae.
AUAACAAUACAGGACUCUUUUGAGGCUCUGCAAUUGGAAUGAGUACACUUUAAAUCCUUUAACGAGGAUCUAUUGAAGGGCAAGUCUGGUGCAGAGUGACUGACUCGUGCGUGCUGCCCUUGAAACUCCACUAUCGCCUGCUGCUCGCACAGUCUCUCCAGCAU